CCUACGGGUGACAGCAGUGGGGGAUAUUGGACAAUGGGGGGAACCCUGAUCCAGCGACGCCGCGUGAGUGAAGAAGUAUUUCGGUAUGUAAAGCUCUGUCAGCAGGGAAGAAAGAAAUGACGGUACCUGACCAAGAAGCCUCGGCUAACUACGUGCCAGCAGCCGCGGUAAUACGUAGGGGGCAAGCGUUAUCCGGAAUUACUGGGUGUAAAGGGAGCGUAGACGGUUAAGUAAGUCUGGAGUGAAAGGCCGGGGCCCAACCCCGGGACUGCUCUGGAAACUAUUGGACUUGAGUGCAGGGGAGGUAAGCGGAAUUCCUAGUGUAGCGGUGAAAUGCGUAGAUAGUAGGAGGAACACCAGUGGCGAAGGCGGCUUACUGGACUGUAACUGACGUUGAGGCUCGAAAGCGUGGGGAGCAAACAGGAUUAGAUACCCGGGUAGUC
Molecule: ribosomal RNA, 443 nt
Filed under: uncultured bacterium
Lineage: Bacteria
Description: partial 16S ribosomal RNA
Rfam family: Bacterial small subunit ribosomal RNA
Source: RNAcentral